GCUAAGAUGUCGUGCGUUGGUGCUCGCGUGGCGGUUCACGCCUCGCAGUUAAACGGGAAACAGGAAGAGACAUGCCUGCGGCAAACGCUCCAGCCUGUGCUGCCCCCGCAACGGUCAGCGACCGAAGGCUCUGCCUUCUGUUCGGACGCUUCAUCCACUGAAUCCGCGGAUUUGGGAAGGAUGUCCGGAUCGCGUCGCCAGCCCGGAUACCGGCCAACGACGAGGGAACGCG
Molecule: non-coding RNA, 232 nt
Filed under: Thiomonas bhubaneswarensis
Lineage: Bacteria; Pseudomonadati; Pseudomonadota; Betaproteobacteria; Burkholderiales
Source: RNAcentral